RNAcentral lists this ribosomal RNA (602 nucleotides) under Cautires arribasae. RNAcentral describes it as "partial 16S ribosomal RNA". It matches the Rfam family "Bacterial large subunit ribosomal RNA", at positions 1816 to 2715 of the family's 2925-position model. Lineage: Eukaryota; Metazoa; Arthropoda; Insecta; Coleoptera; Lycidae. The record is from RNAcentral.
CAUGUCCUUUUGAAUAUAAUUUAAGGUCUGAUCUGCUCAAUGAAUUUUUAAAUAGCCGCAGUAUUUUGACUGUGCUAAGGUAGCAUAAUAAUUAGUUUCUUAAUUAGGAACUGGAAUGAAUGAUUGGACAAGAAAAUUUCUGUCUCUUUUUUAAUUAUUGAAUUUUAUUUUUAAGUGAAAAAGCUUAAAUGUUUAUAAAAGACGAGAAGACCCUAUAGAGUUUAAUAUUUUUUUUUAAUUAUAAAUUAGAAUAUUAUUUUAAAUUAGAUUAUUUGGUUGGGGUGAUUUAAAGAUAUAAUUAAUUCUUUAAAAUAAUAAUUAAAGAUUUUUAAAUUUUAAAUCUAUAGUUUAUAAAACUAAAAUAAAUUACCUUAGGGAUAACAGCGUAAUUUUUCUUUAAAGUUCUUAUUAUAAGGAAAGUUUGCGACCUCGAUGUUGGAUUAAAAUAAAUUUUUGGUGCAAUAACUAAAAAAUUAGGUCUGUUCGACCUUUAAAAUUUUACAUGAUCUGAGUUUAGACCGGUGUGAACCAGGUUGGAUUCUAUCUUUAUAUAAAAAAUAUAUUUUAGUACGAAAGGACCAAGUAUAUAUUAAAUUAAUUGU